RNAcentral lists this ribosomal RNA (320 nucleotides) under uncultured bacterium. RNAcentral's name for it is "bacterial SSU rRNA". It matches the Rfam family "Bacterial small subunit ribosomal RNA", at positions 28 to 329 of the family's 1533-position model. The record is from RNAcentral.
AGCGAACGCUGGCGGCGUACUUAACACAUGCAAGUCGAACGGGGAUCAUCGGGUUAGCAAUAACUCGGUGGUCCUAGUGGCGCACGGGUGAGUAACACGUGGGUAACCUGCCCUGGAGACCCGGGAUACCCCCUCGAAAGGGGGGCGUAAUACCGGAUACGUUCCCUGGAUCGAGAGGUCUGGGGAGGAAAGGUGGCGAAAGCUGCCGCUCUUGGAGGGGCUCGCGGCCUAUCAGCUAGUUGGCGGGGUAACGGCCCACCAAGGCUAUGACGGGUAGCUGGUCUGAGAGGACGACCAGCCACACGGGGACUGAGACACGG